AAAAUAGCUUUCAUAGCUAUUCCUGUCUUGGGCUCGUUGUACCUUGCCUUUUGCUUGUUUGCAGCAAAUAAAGUAUCCGGACAAGUUCUUUCAUACUUUGGAAUUGUCCUGAAUUAUGCAAGUGUCUUCAUCCUGACAGGUUAUAAUGCUACUACAGACAAUACACAGCAAUGCAGGCAGGGCCCUACUGCUAGUGUUCCUUUUGUUUGUACUACAUGUAUCCUGGCUAGCAAUUGCUUACUGCAGUAUGUCCUGAG
Long non-coding RNA from Branchiostoma belcheri (Belcher's lancelet), 257 nucleotides. RefSeq lists it as uncharacterized. NCBI's taxonomy places the organism in Eukaryota, Metazoa, Chordata, Leptocardii, Amphioxiformes, Branchiostomatidae. The record is from RefSeq and is a predicted model, not a curated record. The transcript is spliced from 3 exons.